GUGGGCUGUUUGCUGACUGCCUCUGUAAAUAGGCUAGUAGCAUUAGCGUCGAUGAGUAGUUUGAUGCAAUGUUUGAAAUAAGUUAUGUACAGCUGAAGAAUUACUACCUGUACGGUAUACUGACGGUGCAAAGUGUUGAUGUCGGAGAAAAUCCUGAGCAGUGACGCACGCCUUGCUUUUUUGUUGGAAAGGUUUUAAUCAUCAGGACGACUCCUCGUAAACAACAUCUCUAAAAAUGAACACAGGAGAGAACACUGUUCAGAUGAGUUGCUGUGAAACUUGGGUACAUGCUUAAAGAGAGAUGACAGACAGAACAUAGUGAUGCCAGAGAAGAGAAGUGGUCCAAGAACUGAGCCCUGGGGCACACCAGUAGUUAGAUGUUGUGACUUGGACACCUCACCUCUCCAAGAUACCUUGAAGGACCUAUCUGAAAGCUUGAUAUGGAGCACGGUGGGGAUAAACGAUCUGUGUCAGCCCUGCUGGGGUCCAUAUGGUCUAUCACAAGGUUCUCACUCUACAUCACAUCCGUGAGCUAUAGAUGAACACAGGCUGUCUGUUUACCAGUCAUCCUUCAGAAAAACUUAUGAGGGCCAGCGGAACAGAAAGUGAGACACAGUUGUCUUGGGUUUUGGACUUGGCCUCCCUCCAGCUGUGUGUCCUUCCCCUGCCAUCCUUACUGAAGCUCCGGCUGCACUGGCAGGCUGGGGAAUGCUUUGAAUGUUAAUGAAAUAUGUCAUCGUGAGUUGUCUCAGUAAUUAAUUGUUCACAUCACAUAUUUGAAAGGCCACCAGGAAGCAGUCCCAGUGGCACUGUGGCACGUUGCCUGUCUCAGAA
Molecule: long non-coding RNA, 834 nt
Organism: Cyprinus carpio carpio
Lineage: Eukaryota; Metazoa; Chordata; Actinopteri; Cypriniformes; Cyprinidae
Source: Ensembl